This is a long non-coding RNA of Portunus trituberculatus (swimming crab), 1256 nucleotides long. RefSeq lists it as uncharacterized. The record is from RefSeq and is a predicted model, not a curated record. NCBI's taxonomy places the organism in Eukaryota, Metazoa, Arthropoda, Malacostraca, Decapoda, Portunidae. The transcript is spliced from 3 exons.
UUCCGUAAUGAAACAAUGGCACGCGUUAGUGUUCUAUUAAUAAAGUGCCUCGUGACAUGUUUGUUGAGGGCGCUACAUGCUCACAACAGCGUGGUGUAGCGUGUCCACGACAGGGCUUGGGUGUGCAUUGGUAGCAAGGCUGCAGGGUGUUUGUUGUGGCUUAGGUCUGCCUUAGUGUGUCUCGGCUUCUCCUCACUGAGCGGUGGCGCAGAUGCAAGCCAAGGUGUCACGAGCCGCGGUGUUGACGAUCCAAAGACCUGACUCGAAGCGAAAAUGCGUCCCCUCUACUAUCAAGGAGAGACUCUACUUUGCACUACGCCUUCAUUGACAACGCCCACUAUCAACACCUCUGCCUCGCUACCGACCAACAUCAGGGAAGGACUGUCUUGCAUCGCGCCCACACACACUACGUACUCUUAACGUCGCCGCUGAGUGGUGAUAGCGAGUCAGGUGUGGUGAGGAGGCGGAUUGGUGACGAGAACCAGUAGAUGACGGCAGGGAAGAUUUCACGAACCAGGAAGAUGAAUAUGUGGCAAGAUUGGUUGUGUGGAUGUGCGAGGAUCGGGUGUGGGGGUGAGGGUUUGAGGGAGUGUGACGUGGUGUGGCUUACCCAGACUGGCGUGGGAGAUGUGAGAAUGAAGGGAUGCUUGUGUUAUGACAUUAAAGGGCCGGGAUGCUAUAGAUAUACGUAAAGACGGGAGAACCUGAGAGAAGGAAGAAGAAUGUAACUGAGUGAAAUGGUGAUCCAAGGCCUGAGUGCAGCGAUCCCGUGACUCCUGCACCAUCAGGGAGGGACUCAGGCUUCGCAUGGCCUUCACUGACACCCAACACCACCACCGCCGCCGCUGAGGGACUGCCUCGCGGCGCACCCCAGCGGCCCGGCAAACGCCUACCACCACCACUUCAACCGCCGCCGCCGUCGUCCAGCGAGAGAUUCUGCUUCGCAUCGCACAUUCUGCCCCUCAACACCUGCCGCCGCCGUCCCCGCCCGCCACCACCAGCAAGCAUUCUGCACGGCACCUUGAUCCUGCGCGGCCAUCACCUACUGGUGGUGCUGGUGGCCGUGGAGGGGGAGUUGUGGGUCGACUUGGCAGUCAGUCGUCCCUCACUCAUUGUGGGUGGUGUAUGUACUUGGACAGAUGUGGUGUGUUGUGGUGCCAUUACUCCAUUGUAAUAAACUGUCUUCACUGCCUCAUUGUGUUGUCACUGUACUAUGAACUGUUUUGUCACUACUGAAUAAUAAAUUGUGAAGAAAU